AGUGAACGCUGGCGGUAGGCCUAACACAUGCAAGUCGAACGGCAGCACAGUAAGAGCUUGCUCUUACGGGUGGCGAGUGGCGGACGGGUGAGGAAUACAUCGGAAUCUACUUUUUCGUGGGGGAUAACGUAGGGAAACUUACGCUAAUACCGCAUACGACCUACGGGUGAAAGUAGGGGAUCUUCGGACCUUGCGCGAUUGAAUGAGCCGAUGUCGGAUUAGCUAGUUGGCGGGGUAAAGGCCCACCAAGGCGACGAUCCGUAGCUGGUCUGAGAGGAUGAUCAGCCACACUGGAACUGAGACACGGUCCAGACUCCUACGGGAGGCAGCAGUGGGGAAUAUUGGACAAUGGGCGCAAGCCCGAUCCAGCCAUACCGCGUGGGUGAAGAAGGCCUUCGGGUUGUAAAGCCCUUUUGUUGGGAAAGAAAAGCAGCAGGUUAAUACCCCGCUGUUCUGACGGUACCCAAAGAAUAAGCACCGGCUAACUUCGUG
RNAcentral lists this ribosomal RNA (492 nucleotides) under uncultured bacterium. RNAcentral's name for it is "partial 16S ribosomal RNA". It matches the Rfam family "Bacterial small subunit ribosomal RNA", at positions 29 to 507 of the family's 1533-position model. The record is from RNAcentral.